AUAAAUCUAUAUAAAAACCUACGGUUUCUUAAAAAGAAACCUAAAAAUCGGUUCGGUGCGGUACGGUUCGGUCGGUUUAGUCGGUUUUCGAAUAUCCAUUGACACCACUAUGUGGAGACAUGCCAAUCUGAGUAGGAGAGACUCUAAUAUCAUGUUAAGAAAAUGGACCUUAGACCCAACUCAACCACAAACGCUAGCUCAUGAGGUAAAGAUUGUCCAUAAUCAUGUAAGGGGACAGCGACUCAUUCCCUCAACCAACGUGGAAUAAUUUAACAACAUUGACGGAGAGGAAUGAUAUAUUGACGGUGUAGAGUCGGAUUCUGUACAUAUCAGAAAUUACCUCUUCUAAUUUCCUUUUGGUGCACCUGAGGUUGCCAGUCUAUAUGAAAAAUUAGGUGCACUUUGAACCAUACUUUCAUAUACUGUCUACUUUUUGGCAUAUCCAUACAGGUUUAUUCCCUUCUUCAAUAAGAUUCUUGUUACCUGAUAAGGUGAUGGACCUCAUUUUACAAAUUCUUACUCCAGGAGGCCAACAACAACAACAACAACGACCCAGUAUAAUCCCACAAGUGGGGUCUGGGGAGGGUAAUAUGUACGCAGACCUUACCAGGAGGCCAAAAAUAACAAAUUGAAAAGUUAGUAACUGAUUCUGUACAUAUCAGAAAUUACCUCUUCUAAUUUCCUUUUGGUGCACCUGAGGUUGCCAGUCUAUAUGAAAAAUUAGGUGCAUUUUGAACCAUACUUUCAUAUACUGUCUACUUUUUGGCAUAUCCAUACAGGUUUAUUCCCUUCUUCAAUAAGAUUCUUGUUACCUGAUAAGGUGAUGGACCUCAUUUUAUAAAUUCUUACUCCAGGAGGCCAAAAAUAACAAAUUGAAAAGUUAGUAACUGCCAUGAGACAGUUACUCAUGUAUUGGGUAGUUUUUUUCCUGGAGAAAGGUGGCAGGGAGUUUUUGCAGAUAAGUAUUCAAACAAAAAACGAAUCCUUGGGAGAGUUCUAGCCUCUCAAAUGUCUAGAAGUGUCAUGUCUGUAUAAUUUCAAUGUUAUGUACUGUGUCUCUGUCACUUGUAUCCAUUUCAGUAAUUAUUCUAUUCUGUCUGAAUGUCAUUUCGUGUUUUAUGCUGUAAUUACGGAGUUCUCAGUGUUGGCGUGGUUAUUUCAGACUUGCUGAAGUAAAUUCUGUAUUUUCAGUGUUAACAGUUUUUGUUCCUGUUAUAUCCUAUUUUCAGAAAAGUCUAUCAUAAGGAAAAACUAUCUUAUUGAUUGAUUGUCUAUACACAUGAUUUAAGUCACAAGAGCAUAAAAGAACAAGUGCUCUCACAAACAACGAACUUGCAGAAGAUGAAGGUAGCAGAGAUGAGAAUGUUGAGAUGGAUGUGUGGGCACACCAGGUCAGAUAGGAUUAGAAAUGAGGUUAUUCGCGAUAAGGUGGGUGUCGACCCUUAUUGAGGACAAGAUGCGGGAAGCUCGGCUUAGGUGGUUUAGUCAUGUGAGGAGGAGGAACACAGACGCCCCGGUGAGGUGUGAGAGGUUGACAGUGGAGGGCCUACAAAAAGGUAAUGGUAGGCCAAAGAAGAGGUGGGGAAAGGUAAUUAGGCAAGACAUGACGCAACUUCAGCUGACCGAGGAUAUGACCCUUGAUAGGAAGGUAUGGAGGUUGAGGAUUAGGGUAAUAGAGUAGGUAGUCUAGAGUAUUCAUAACAGUAGUAUUGGCACGCAGUCUCUGUUGGUAGUAGGUUUUUAUGACUAACCGUUGUUUUCUUUCAUUGUUUAUCACCUUACUGUCUUGUUGUUUUUAUUCUGCUUUUAUAUGGCUUUUUGGUACUGUCCCUUUUUGUCUAUAUUUUCAUUAAUGUGGUGCUUAUGCUUUCCUGAGCCGAAGGUCUAUUGGAAACAACCUUUCUAUGCUCACAAGGUAGGGGUAAGGUCUGCGAACACACUACCCUCCCCAGAUCUCACUGUGUGGGAUAAUACUAGGUAUUUUGUUGUAUUAGGUGACAUAAAAGGGGUUCUUUGUGUUU
Molecule: long non-coding RNA, 2021 nt
Filed under: Nicotiana tabacum (common tobacco)
Lineage: Eukaryota; Viridiplantae; Streptophyta; Magnoliopsida; Solanales; Solanaceae
Description: long non-coding RNA (NTAB_LNC014179)
Source: RNAcentral